Molecule: ribosomal RNA, 393 nt
Filed under: uncultured bacterium
Lineage: Bacteria
Description: bacterial SSU rRNA
Rfam family: Bacterial small subunit ribosomal RNA
Source: RNAcentral
AGUGAACGCUGGCGGCAGGCCUAACACAUGCAAGUCGAGCGGCAGCGCGGGGGCAACCCUGGCGGCGAGCGGCGGACGGGUGAGGAAUGCAUCGGAAUCUACCUCGUUGUGGGGGAUAACCUCGGGAAACCGGGACUAAUACCGCAUACGACCUACGGGUGAAAGUGGGGGACCUUCGGGCCUCACGCGAUGAGAUGAGCCGAUGCCGGAUUAGCUAGUUGGCGGGGUAAAGGCCCACCAAGGCGACGAUCCGUAGCUGGUCUGAGAGGAUGAUCAGCCACACUGGAACUGAGACACGGUCCAGACUCCUACGGGAGGCAGCAGUGGGGAAUAUUGGACAAUGGGCGCAAGCCUGAUCCAGCCAUGCCGCGUGUGUGAAGAAGGCCUCGGUUG